AACGAACGCUGGCGGCAGGCUUAACACAUGCAAGUCGAACGCCCCGCAAGGGGAGUGGCAGACGGGUGAGUAACGCGUGGGAAUCUACCCAUCCCUACGGAAUAACGCAUGGAAACGUGUGCUAAUACCGUAUACGCCCUACGGGGGAAAGAUUUAUCGGGGAUGGAUGAGCCCGCGUUGGAUUAGCUAGUUGGUGGGGUAAAGGCCUACCAGGGCGACGAUCCAUAGCUGGUCUGAGAGGAUGAUCAGCCACAUUGGGACUGAGACACGGCCCAAACUCCUACGGGAGGCAGCAGUGGGGAAUAUUGGACAAUGGGCGCAAGCCUGAUCCAGCCAUGCCGCGUGAGUGAUGAAGGCCUUAGGGUUGUAAAGCUCUUUCACCGGAGAAGAUAAUGACGGUAUCCGGAGAAGAAGCCCCGGCUAACUUCGUG
RNAcentral lists this ribosomal RNA (431 nucleotides) under uncultured bacterium. RNAcentral's name for it is "partial 16S ribosomal RNA". It matches the Rfam family "Bacterial small subunit ribosomal RNA", at positions 29 to 507 of the family's 1533-position model. The record is from RNAcentral.